CAGCCGCCGCGGGAAUACAGAGGGUGCAAGCGUUAAUCGGAAUUACUGGGCGUAAAGCGCGCGUAGGUGGUUUGUUAAGUUGGAUGUGAAAUCCCCGGGCUCAACCUGGGAACUGCAUUCAAAACUGACUGACUAGAGUAUGGUAGAGGGUGGUGGAAUUUCCUGUGUAGCGGUGAAAUGCGUAGAUAUAGGAAGGAACACCAGUGGCGAAGGCGACCACCUGGACUAAUACUGACACUGAGGUGCGAAAGCGUGGGGAGCAAACAGGAUUAGAUACCCGCGUAGUCCCUGUCUCUUAUAC
This 301-nucleotide ribosomal RNA is filed under the name uncultured bacterium. RNAcentral's name for it is "partial 16S ribosomal RNA". It matches the Rfam family "Bacterial small subunit ribosomal RNA", at positions 509 to 807 of the family's 1533-position model. The record is from RNAcentral.